ACAAAGUACCGGUAUCAGAUCGGUAUCAGACCGGUAUCAGACUGGUAUCAGAUCGGUAUCAGACCCGUAUCAGACUGGUAUCGGAUCGGUAUCAGACUGGUAUCAGACUGGUAUCAGAUCGGUAUCGCUGAUACUGGCUUGUAUUUUACUUGGUAUCGGAUCAGAAAGAAAGCGAGUGGCAUCGUACAUCACUACUCCAGUACUCCUGCUGGCAGCACGCGGUGUGACGGAAACCUACGAGCCUGCGUGCUCUAGCCUGGAGCUGCUCUUAAAGGGCCAGCGUCACUAAAAUACCCCACACAGUUAUCACAAUACCAGCUUUACAAGCAGAACGAAUGUGAACAGGUAAACAGUUUAAAACAUAAUAAGCUCCGUUUCACAAUGACACAUGUUUAAUAUUAGUUCUCUUGGCUACAGAUAAAUAUAUUUAGUUCAGUAAACGGCCUCUCAUUACACAGUUCUUACCUUUCAGUUUACCAAACCAAGACUUGGUGGUUCACAUGUUGCAGCUGCAGAGCCGAAUGUCGCCAUGGCCAGGAAAGUGUCUCAGAAACAAGUCAUGGAAGGUGGGAGAUUACUGGUUCUCCGGUCAGCACUGCAUCUCAG
This is a long non-coding RNA of Melanotaenia boesemani (Boeseman's rainbowfish), 606 nucleotides long. RefSeq lists it as uncharacterized. Lineage: Eukaryota; Metazoa; Chordata; Actinopteri; Atheriniformes; Melanotaeniidae. The transcript has 2 exons. The record is from RefSeq and is a predicted model, not a curated record.